Molecule: long non-coding RNA, 473 nt
Organism: Lucilia sericata (common green bottle fly)
Lineage: Eukaryota; Metazoa; Arthropoda; Insecta; Diptera; Calliphoridae
Exons: 3
Source: RefSeq, a predicted model, not a curated record
AAACGGAAAGAUCGAAAACACAAAGUAAAGCUGAAAAUGGAAGGAAAUAAAAUACAAGAAAAUUCUAAGGAAGAAGUCGGCAAUUUCGAAAAUCAAAAAGACAAUGUUGGUUGCUAUUGAAAAUUUUGGAACAAAGGAACAACAAAAUGGGCCACAAUAGGAUUUGGAAAUUCCUUUUUAUUGAGGACGAUCAAAAUCUUUUAGCUGUUCGCUCCAAGUUAUAUACAAUAUCCGUAGUAAUGGGGUAUAAUAUGUUCUAUGCGGCAAUUUAUGUCAUGUGGAUAAUGUUACGUAUACUAUUGUCUACAGCACCGGGAAGAUUAGACAACUACAUUCGUUUUUAAAUAUUAAAUAAUUGUUUAUACUUCUUCUGUUCUUGUGUUAAACUGUUUAUUUCAAAAUUAAUGUUGAUAUUCAUCUCCAUUCUUUAAAACAAAAAAGUUUUAAAUAGAAUUUUGUUGUGUUUUUCAUAA